Molecule: long non-coding RNA, 7601 nt
Organism: Macadamia integrifolia
Lineage: Eukaryota; Viridiplantae; Streptophyta; Magnoliopsida; Proteales; Proteaceae
Exons: 2
Source: RefSeq, a predicted model, not a curated record
UAUUUGUUUUUUUAAUCUGAUCUUCUAGCAAAAAAAAAAAAAUUGUCAUGCUAUCUUAUUCCAAGAUAUGGCAAAAAAAUGAAUUCUGCAUUAUGUCGGUUAGGGUUAGAAGAUUACCUAUGCUCGGUGUCUGACAAAAGCUAGAAAUGGAAGGGAUCCCUUCUGCUUCAGAUAUAGAUUUUUGUUGAAUUCCCCCGACUCAAGGGCAAGGGUUUGCCUUCUCGCUUUCUUGGAGAAAUCGGCACUUUUGAUGCUUUGGCAGAACUUCGUGAUGAUUUUGGAUUUUUGGGAUUUCAGGGAUUUCUGUAGAGGUUCAACACUUUUUGGGCUUCUCUGGGGGAUUUCUACCUAAAUUCUGAGGUUACUAGGGUUUUUGGAAUUUAACUACUGGGAAUUCUGUAGAACUUUGGGGCUUAUUGGAAUAUUCGGAAAAAUAAAAGAAUUUUAAAAACUAUAUGGGAAUUUCUUUGGAUUUUUCUCCUAUUCUUCCUAUGAAAACUGACACUUAUUUAUAAGGUUUCAGGGUUGGGACAUAGAGGUUAUCUUUUAUUUCCCUAAGGAAGGCCACCCCGUCUAAGGGUUGGGCGGAUUUGCGCAACUUUUAGGUGGGUUACCUCCCCCCCUCUAAAUAAGCAAAUUGGGCUGAUUUUGGUCAGUUUGUUGGUUUCUGAUUUCUAAGGGGGUUGUUAUGGGAAAUCUAGAUGAUGGAUUUUAACGUGUAAUAUAUGAAUGAAAUCAUCUUGAUGAGUACUAUCCAGUAUUGCAGAAAUUGAGCUCAUUCUUGGCUCGGAAGUUCUCGGAAAAUGCGAAACAUGAGAUUUUGUCAUUUUAAUGCAAGGGGAGGGAUCAACAACCAUCUUUUUGGUCAUUCCUACAUUAUUGGCUAAUACUCGGCUUGACACUGUCAAAUAUCGAUUCAUCAUCAAUUCAUCACCAGACAUAAUGGAUUCGGGGUCCAAGGUAGGCCGAAAGGUAUUAGGUUGGAUCAAGUGUCGGUUUGAACUUUGUGAAUACGUGGUGGCUUAUCCAGGCAUCAAAAUUUUGUAUAUAGUAUAUCGACGGAAUUGUUUUUUCGAGUACUAUCCAAUGAUGUGGAAAUCAAACUCAUUCAUGGUUAAUUGUCAUAUUAUGGCAGAGAGAAUUGACGACCAUUUUCUAGGUCAUUAUUGAACGACGCUUGGCUUUGGAUCCUUGACAUUUCUCACGCUAAACCAAACUCCACAAAUCAGCACACGAGGUUUGGUUGGGGGUGUCUAGGGUUUCGCCAAAAACCAGAUCCUCCUCGAGAGUGAAAGUACAAGCUUCAUUCCUCUCCCAUAGAUCAUCGUUGUCAAAGGGGACAAAAUUAGGUGCCUACAAAGGUAUGAGAGAGAAGGGGAGAUCACAUGCGCCACAGGCUUCACACCAUGCGACUCAAAUUUUAAAUUCAUUCUCUGAUCUGCUCAAUGAAUUGGAUUACAAGUAUAUUUAUAAAAAAGUGAAAUUAAAUGGUACCAUUACAUGGAGCUGGAGCUGGAGCUGGAGCUGGAGGCAGAGCUGGUGCGGGAGACUCAGUACACUCAUGCCGCAUAGGAUUUGGACCACGGUGCACGUGUAGCCUACACGAGAGGGUCUCGUCUACGAUUCACACCUGGUGGUAGUGAGGAGCAUUAUAGCAUGGACUCAAUAUACAUCUUGAUUAGGAGCUUGACACUCUCAGAAGCUUGAGUAUGGAGAGUGGUAUUUAUGGGGAGCAAUUGUAUACAUCGUUAGCCUUAUAUAGCAUGGGGAGCAUCGAUUCAUACUAUAGUCAUUAUAAUCAGCUUAGUCAGUUUGUACAUGUGCAACCAUAUGCCACCUCUUUCCCAUUUGCCUUUGAGUGUAAGGGUCAGUCAUACCCCCACAUUGGGUCCGAUUUUGUGGGUAGCGCCUUCAGGAUUCUAGCUCCCAGCCAUACAUAUCUGUGCAAGUUCUGGUGCGACGACACCAUCCAGGCUCGGUGGAUCUCGAUCUAGUUCUUUACGUUUUGUAGAUAUCUAAGGUUAGGGUACCUCCAGUAUGUUGAUGUUUAUAGGGCUGUUGUGGAAAACUCCGAGUAUUACUUCCGGCAUAUUAUGACAUGGCCAACAUUCAAUUAGAGCAAAACAUGCUUCAACAUUAGCAACAAUAUGGUGGUUAUGAUGAUAUGGCCCAACACUUAAAAGAGUUUAGGUCUCUAGGAUGAGUUUGAUAUAUGUACUUAUGUACUUGUGUUGUUAUGUGACUUAUGUCAUUCCAAUGUAUGUGAUGUGACUCAUCCGUCAUCCAUGUUAAAUAAUUAAGUAAUGUUGUAAAUGGGUACAAGGGUAGAAUAGUCCAUUAGGGGUAUUUUAGUUUUGUCAUUAUAUCUGGAAUAUUCUCUUCCAUAUUAGAAAUAGAGAUGGCCUGUGUCCAUUAGAAAAAAGUCAUUAUCCCAUUCAACAUUAUAUCAGAGCCUUAGAUCCAAAUCCUAAGGUUUCCCAUCUCUUUGUUUCGCCUCUCGAUUUUGGUGGUCAGUGCCUCCCACCUACGCCUCCCUCCAUCCUUCCUUUCUCGGUACUAGUUUCUUAAACAAGCAUAGGAGGUCUCUAGCCCCUUCCAUCUUCUUUCCUGAUAUCUUAGACUCUCCUCUUUAAUGAUCUGAGAGACCUAAUUCACCUUUUUUUUUUUUUUUUUUUUUAUCACUUUUCAAGGUUUUUACCCUGGUUGACUUUUUGAUAUCAGGGUUUUUCUUCCUUGUUUGAUUCAUUGAUCGACUUGAAGAUGGUUCUGAUUGAUGCUAUUGAUCCUAGUUGUGGUAUAUAUUAGCCAUGUUACUAUCUCAGGGCUUGAUUAUAGAGCUUUACCAACCCUUUAUAGAUUUUUGGUUUUUAGGGUUUUUUCCUACUUUUUGGUGCCUCUUCUACCUAUAGUUGGUGUAUCAGCUUGUUCCAACCAUCUCUACAGCCUCUUUAAGUGGUAACCAUGUCUGGACCUGCGAGCUCAACCGCGUCCACUGGUGGUGACUACUCCGGCACCCUUCCCACAUUCCCUCCAUGUGCUAUCAAGCUUGAUGGUAUUAUCUUAUAUGGUCACGCUCAUGGUUUAUCUCCAUCAAAUCUUGUGGUUAUUAUGGUUAUCUUACUAGAACCACAAAGCAACCUACCAUAGGUACUGAUAUUAAUAAAUUGGAGUGCAAAUUCUCUUGUUUUGGCUUUUCUUGUCAACUCUAUGCAGCCACAAAUUACUCAUGCUAUCUCCUUAACUCCGCUACGAAGUUAUGGAAGUGUGUACAAAACAUUGACUCCCAUAUUGGGAAUGAUGCUCAAGUAUUCGAACUUCGCCAUAAGGUUCAUGAUUUGAAGCAAAAGGGGCUAACUCUAUCAUAGUUUAUUACGAGUUGCAAACUCUGUGGUAUGAGCUGGACUUCUAUGAGGAGUAUGUUUUCACCACUCAUGCUGAUGUCAUUACCUACUAGAAACCGGAAGAAAAGAUCAACGUCUAUGAUUCUUGGUAGGGCUGGAUUUGGAAUACGACUAACUGCGGGCUCAUGUUCAGAGUCGUUCUUUCUUUCUUAUUUUGGAGCAAGCCUAAGGUAUGAUACAACUUGAGGACAGUUGUCGUACUACUAUGCUCCCAUAGCCUACUGCUGCUCCCAUAGAGAGAUUUGUUCUUACCUUAAGCACCCUGUCCUACAGUAUAGCCUCAUAGUCUAGUGGCUCCUCUACCAUAGCACCUGUAAAGUGCGACUACUGUAGUAAGGAGUGUCAUACCAAGGAGCACUAUUGGAAGCUUUAUGGCCACCCUGCUGAUACAUCUGAUAAAGGUUGUGGAAAGGGUCGUGGUAAUUUCGGUCAGGUCAACCAUACUAAAGCCUCUGACUCUAACUCUGCACUAAGCAUCUUCUCAGCAUCUUUAUCCUCUGAUGAGCUUAUUGCCUUUCAGCAUCUUCUGACUCGUAUGGAGCCUCAUGCAUAUGCAAUGACAAGUUUUGCUCACUCCACACCAUUCGUUCAGGUACCUAUUUUAUGGUCAUAGUACGUGUGUCCAGUCUACCAUGUGGAUUAUUGACUCCGGGGUAUUAGAUCAUAUGAUAGGUUCUUUUGCUUUUUUCUCUUAGUAUACUUUCUGUUCUGGUAAUAGUAAGGUCAAAUGGGCUAAUGGGACUUCUUCCACAAUUUUGGGAAAGGGCUUUGUUAGCUAUAAUUCUACUUAUAACUCUUUCAACUGGUUUGCAUGUUCCAUCCUUUACUACUAAUUUAUCGUGCAUUAGUUGUCUCACUUCCGGUCUUAAUUGCAAAGACAAUUUUUUUCCUUCUCAUUGUAUUUUCAGGAUCUAGUGGCAGAGGGAAACGAUUGGCUCUAGUAGGGUGUGCAGUGGUUUGUAUCUGCCUGAUGAUGACUCUUCUUCGGUCUCUGGUCAGGCUCUUCAGACAUAUUUUUUAUCACCUCCCAUCUGUGAGUUACUACAGGGCUCUACUGCUUUUCCUAUCACUCUCCAAGUGUUUGGCUACGUCUGUUAUGCUCGUGGUCUUCAUCCUCACGGUAUCUAGUGCAUUUUUCUAGGGUAUUUUGCCACUCAGAAGGCAAUCGGUGUGAUCAUCCUACCACUUGGCAUUGGUGGUUUGUGACUAUAGAUGUUGUCUUUCAUGAAUCUGUGUUCGGGGGAGUCUUCUUCCACAGUGGAAGAUGUGCCGCCUCUUGAACGUAGUACACUGUUAUCUGUUUUCCUUGCCGAUGUUCCAUUUUAAGGGGAGAAUGCAUGAUCCUUACUCAUCACACGUGGCAUCAUUUGGGUCGGGGCCUUCAUAGAUGUUGAUUGGGCAGGUUCACUUGAUGAUCGUAGGUCUACCAUUGGUUAUGGCACCUGUGUUGGUGGUAACCUUAUUACUUGGUGAAGCAAGAAGCAAGUGGUUGUUGCCUGGUCUAGUGCUGAAGCUGAGUUCCGUGCUAUGGCCCGUGGCGCUAGUGAGUUUUUAUGAGCUUCAUGAUCUUCUCACAGAUUUGGCUCUCCUUGCUACUACUCCUAUGAAGCUAUGUUGUGAUAGUAAAUCUGCCAUUAGCAUUACUCACAACCCAGUCUAGGAUGAUUGAACCAAAUAUGUGGAGAUUGAUCGGCACUUCAUCAAAGAGAAGCUUGAUAUGAGUCUUAUCACUGUGCAUUUCGUUCCCAGCAUUGAACUACUGGCUAAUGUAUUUACUAAGGGUCUUAGUGGUAAGAUGUUUCUUCCUAUUAUCUGCAAGUUGGGCGUAUGUGAUAUCUAUGCACCAAUUUGAGGGGGAUUAUUGUCAAUGGGUACAAGAGUAGAAUUGUCUGUUAGGGGUGUUUUAGUCUUGCACUCAUAUCUUAAUUGUUCUCUUCCAUAUUAUAAAUAGAGCCGGGCUAUGUGCAUUAGACAUGAGUCAUUAGCCUAUUCAACUAAUAAUUAUCUAAAAUAUCUUUUAAUUCCUUGUGAUUAUUUAUGCAUUUUAAAUUGAUUAUGUGUUCUAACUUCUAAAAGUAUUAGAUGUCGUGUGGAUUGUGGAAUAAUAGCCUAGGGUACGAAGACUAAUUACAAAGGGUACGAAGUCAAAGUACCAUUUUGGGUUUAUUUUUAAAAAACUAAGGCUUCUGCUUUAUUUAGAAGGCCUAAAAUAGGGUAAAUGACAAGCUUAAGGGGCUAGAAAGCCCAUAUGGCCACUAAGACCAACCACCGAGAUCUCGUACCCAACGAAACCUUGGGCGAGAUCACUGAGGAGGUGGGGAACCCAAACCAAAUGGCUUCAGUAAGAAGUUCCUAUCUGGCAUAAUGCUUUCAAAUCCAUAGUUAGUCUUGCAUCAAAAUUCUAAUGUUAGAAGGAAAAUUUUUAACAAUGAAAAUUAUGGCCUUCUAAACAUUAAUGAACAUAAAUUCCACUUCUUUGCUAUGUCUUAAAAGGCAAAGUUGUGAGGUGAGGUUAGGACCUCUAAAAAUGUUUGCAAAGCAGAUGGAAAAGUUCAUAGCUGGUUCUGAGCUUUCUGACCAACAACACCUAUUACGUAUCAAUAUUAAUAGAGCUUUAUAAGUUGUUUAGAAACCUAUUUCGACUUUUUCCCAGGGAGUUGAAAUUUCAAGCUGUUAAACAUAAUAAAUAAAUUCUUAAUUUAAACACGUUCAUAAUAUUAUAUUUUAAGUUGUAGUUAUCUGAGUUUUAUUUUGAGUUGUGUGGCCUCAGAAAAUUAGGUGGCUCUAAAUUUGUGUUGGGCGACACAAUUCCAACAACUCUCAUGGCUGAGUCAGCUGAAUUGCAACUCAAGUGAACUGCAUGGCCAGAAGCUUGUGGUAGGACAGAUUUUAUCAUCUAAAGUUGCGCUCAAGUUUUAAUAUUCAGCUGUCUUUUAGGAGAUGAAUCUUGCUUUAAUAGCCUGCCAAAUAGUAGUGAUUGAUCUAUUUUUAUUCCCAUGCUAAGCUUCAUCUGACAAGCAAGAUACUUUAAGAUCCUUGUAAGUCCCACCACCAUAUUUUUUAAGCCAAUUGGAAGCCUAAAAAUUAAGUGGGAAAACAGAACCUGAUCAAUUCUACUUGGGCUGGUUACCUAGCUCACACCUUGACUUCAAUGAUAAACAAAGUUUUGAAAAGAAGAAAUUCCAUUGAAGUAGUUAUUUUACUCCUUAGAUCAGCCGAGUCAAAAGUGGCAAACUUAAAAAUAGAAGUUCCACUUGUAGUGGAGGUUAUGCUUUCUUAAAUACUAUCCAUUUCUGGAGAUUCUGUGCAGUUCGUUUCUCCUAUCAAGUCUCUUACCUUGCAAUGAAGCUUCAUAGCAUGAAGAGGCAUGGAUUGUUUAAUCAUAUUAUUAUAAAAGUAAACUAUCGUGUUUUCGCUUUUUCUCUCUCCACUUGUAAGGGAGCAGGAAUUGAAACUUAGACCUAGUUUGUAAAUAAUUUAAUUAGAGACCAUAACCCUGAAGAGCUGAUGGGAUGAUGGUUAGAAGACAGUAUCCAAAACAACUUGCACUUUCUGAGAAUUUGGGGUUCAGGAUAUCUGCUGUCAAUGAUUGGAACAGUGGGGUUACUUGGAAAGGGGAAAUGAACUCUGUGUUUGACAAGACAUGCAUGAUUCCGUUUUCUUUUGAUUCUUUAUGAGAAAGGAGUAUUUCUGUUGCAAUGAUAAAUUUAACUUUUCCAUAACAGCCAACCAGAAAACCUCUUGUGAAAUCCAAGAGGAUCAGAAUCAUCUGCAGAUUCAUAGGUAUAUGAUAUUUGAUAACCUUGAGUAUCGCUUAUCAUCAUCGCAACCACUUAGAUCAUUUUGCACUUAAAUUCAAUUUUUCCAUCAUCCUUGUGCAGUGAACAUACUUCAGCUUGAUGUUGUUCUGUUUUAGCAGCUGCUGCAUGAGAAUGGAGAGUUGAUCCUGUGCUGAACCCAGAACUGCCUGGAGACUCGUAUAAAUCGUUAGACUCCUUGAUGGUUGACUUUCCAUAUUACCGUGGGCUAAAUGCUCUGCCAAGUCUCUAUAAUCAUCAAGUAGAAAAUAUAUUUCAGAGAUUCUGUAGUUUAGCAGAUUGUAAUUUUUGUUUCGGUUUAAGAAAUCUUGCAGUCACUGAAAAUUAAAAGAUGAUAUUAGGGAACUUCCAAAUUAUGUUUCCAUCUUCUUGAUGUUUUUUA